GACCUGAGCACUUUAUCUUCGUUCUUGAUACUUAUAUCUACAAAUGAAAUUAGGGCUAGUUACACUGCAUUUCCAUCAUCAGCUCUCCCUUGUGGUUCAAAUUUAGCACAAACCUGCUGUGGAUACAUAUUAAUUAGGGGAAUAUAAUAGGAUGGAAUUAUUUCAUGAGUUUUUUAAUGACUGUUCUUUGAAGUAUGGUUUUUAUCUUAUAAAUUUACCAUUAUUGUGUUGAAAAUCUAGAAAAUCUUUACAUGAGCAGCUAAGCUGCUGUCAGCCCAGAACAGUGUAAGUCGAACAUUAACUGGCAGGAAAACUGAUGAAAGUGUCUUUGACUUUGAGAUGCAGCAAGCCAUUUCAAGUGAAGUUGCCCAUUCUCUGUACAGAAUGGUGUGGCGGUCUUGUAACUUCAUUGCAUGGUUGGAGUCUGAAUAGAAGUUUUCUGUCACUGUUUGCCACAGGUGUAAGUUACAGGGGGAGAAAAGACACUUUUUACAGAGCUGGGAGCUCAUAAACGUCUCAAAAGAAAGAUGCUGGAUAAUUGGAAAUAAGAAUUUGAGUUUCCUGGUUUUCUGUGUGUGUACAACCCAUAGGAAAUUCUUCCCAGUAAAUUCCUGUAGCCUUCAGACAUUUUCAAGAGGCAAAGGACCAGGUAGGUCUGUAUUUCUAUUAAUUACAAAAAGAAAACGUUUCAUUGUCUUUGUUCCUAGGAAGAAAUAUAAUGAGAAUUAGAAGCCUUUGAAUUAGGCUAGAAACACUGUGGACUACUAAGUGUAAAGUAGAAGAAGGUGAAGCUGAAUUUUAAAGGUCAGAAUUCUGUUUGUACCUUUAUUUUACUUCCAUUUCAGCUCUAUGUGGGCUUUCUACCAAAGGAAGCAGAGACCGCUUGUGUUCCUUGUCUUUAGAUGGAUUUUCUGAAGGAAGGGAUAGGGGCCAAUGCCAGUACUAUCAAGGCAAUUGUCUGGGACCUUGGUCCCCAGAGAGAUAGGAUAAAAGGAUGUAGAGCAGGGGCUAGACACCAAGCCCUGUGCUGACAUGGACUGCGAGUGCUAUAACAUACACCCAGAGGCAGAGUGGAGAGAGAGAAAGGUGGAGCCAGGGGGAGAAGCAUAUUCUCUCCUGGUGUCGGUGACCCACAAGAACCUUGGCCUUUCCAUGGCCAGAGGAGGGUCCUGGUAUGAAUAAAUAAAUCAACAAAUAAAGCUGUGGUAAUUUC
This 1213-nucleotide long non-coding RNA is filed under the name Sus scrofa (pig). RNAcentral's name for it is "lncRNA (ENSSSCG00050046748.1)". The record is from RNAcentral. Lineage: Eukaryota; Metazoa; Chordata; Mammalia; Artiodactyla; Suidae.